RNAcentral lists this ribosomal RNA (494 nucleotides) under uncultured crenarchaeote. RNAcentral describes it as "bacterial SSU rRNA". It matches the Rfam family "Archaeal small subunit ribosomal RNA", at positions 319 to 815 of the family's 1478-position model. Lineage: Archaea; Thermoproteati; Thermoproteota. The record is from RNAcentral.
GCCCCAUGGGGCGCAGCAGGCGAGAAAACUUUGCAAUGUGCGAAAGCACGACAAGGUUAAUCCGAGUGGUUUCUGCUAAAGGAACCUUUUGUCGGUCCUAGAAACACUGAUGAAUAAGGGGUGGGCAAGUUCUGGUGUCAGCCGCCGCGGUAAAACCAGCACCUCAAGUGGUCAGGAUGAUUAUUGGGCCUAAAGCAUCCGUAGCCGGCUCUGUAAGUUUUCGGUUAAAUCUGUACGCUUAACGUACAGGCUGCCGGGAAUACUGCAGAGCUAGGGAGUGGGAGAGGUAGACGGUACUCGGUAGGAAGGGGUAAAAUCCUUUGAUCUAUUGAUGACCACCUGUGGCGAAGGCGGUCUACCAGAACACGUCCGACGGUGAGGGAUGAAAGCUGGGGGAGCAAACCGGAUUAGAUACCCGGGUAGUCCCAGCUGUAAACUAUGCAAACUCAGUGAUGCAUUGGCUUGUGGCCAAUGCAGUGCUGCAGAGAAGCCGU